RNAcentral lists this ribosomal RNA (357 nucleotides) under uncultured organism. RNAcentral's name for it is "bacterial SSU rRNA". It matches the Rfam family "Bacterial small subunit ribosomal RNA", at positions 527 to 887 of the family's 1533-position model. The record is from RNAcentral.
GGAGGAUCCAAGCGUUAUCCGGAAUCAUUGGGUUUAAAGGGUCCGUAGGCGGUUUAGUAAGUCAGUGGUGAAAGCCCAUCGCUCAACGGUGGAACGGCCAUUGAUACUGCUAGACUUGAAUUAUUAGGAAGUAACUAGAAUAUGUAGUGUAGCGGUGAAAUGCUUAGAGAUUACAUGGAAUACCAAUUGCGAAGGCAGGUUACUACUAAUGGAUUGACGCUGAUGGACGAAAGCGUGGGUAGCGAACAGGAUUAGAUACCCUGGUAGUCCACGCCGUAAACGAUGGAUACUAGCUGUUGGGAGCGAUCUCAGUGGCUAAGCGAAAGUGAUAAGUAUCCCACCCUGGGGAGUACGUUC